This 2901-nucleotide ribosomal RNA is filed under the name Escherichia coli. RNAcentral's name for it is "23S ribosomal RNA". It matches the Rfam family "Bacterial large subunit ribosomal RNA". The record is from RNAcentral. Lineage: Bacteria; Pseudomonadati; Pseudomonadota; Gammaproteobacteria; Enterobacterales; Enterobacteriaceae.
UUAAGCGACUAAGCGUACACGGUGGAUGCCCUGGCAGUCAGAGGCGAUGAAGGACGUGCUAAUCUGCGAUAAGCGUCGGUAAGGUGAUAUGAACCGUUAUAACCGGCGAUUUCCGAAUGGGGAAACCCAGUGUGUUUCGACACACUAUCAUUAACUGAAUCCAUAGGUUAAUGAGGCGAACCGGGGGAACUGAAACAUCUAAGUACCCCGAGGAAAAGAAAUCAACCGAGAUUCCCCCAGUAGCGGCGAGCGAACGGGGAGGAGCCCAGAGCCUGAAUCAGUGUGUGUGUUAGUGGAAGCGUCUGGAAAGGCGCGCGAUACAGGGUGACAGCCCCGUACACAAAAAUGCACAUGCUGUGAGCUCGAUGAGUAGGGCGGGACACGUGGUAUCCUGUCUGAAUAUGGGGGGACCAUCCUCCAAGGCUAAAUACUCCUGACUGACCGAUAGUGAACCAGUACCGUGAGGGAAAGGCGAAAAGAACCCCGGCGAGGGGAGUGAAAAAGAACCUGAAACCGUGUACGUACAAGCAGUGGGAGCACGCUUAGGCGUGUGACUGCGUACCUUUUGUAUAAUGGGUCAGCGACUUAUAUUCUGUAGCAAGGUUAACCGAAUAGGGGAGCCGAAGGGAAACCGAGUCUUAACUGGGCGUUAAGUUGCAGGGUAUAGACCCGAAACCCGGUGAUCUAGCCAUGGGCAGGUUGAAGGUUGGGUAACACUAACUGGAGGACCGAACCGACUAAUGUUGAAAAAUUAGCGGAUGACUUGUGGCUGGGGGUGAAAGGCCAAUCAAACCGGGAGAUAGCUGGUUCUCCCCGAAAGCUAUUUAGGUAGCGCCUCGUGAAUUCAUCUCCGGGGGUAGAGCACUGUUUCGGCAAGGGGGUCAUCCCGACUUACCAACCCGAUGCAAACUGCGAAUACCGGAGAAUGUUAUCACGGGAGACACACGGCGGGUGCUAACGUCCGUCGUGAAGAGGGAAACAACCCAGACCGCCAGCUAAGGUCCCAAAGUCAUGGUUAAGUGGGAAACGAUGUGGGAAGGCCCAGACAGCCAGGAUGUUGGCUUAGAAGCAGCCAUCAUUUAAAGAAAGCGUAAUAGCUCACUGGUCGAGUCGGCCUGCGCGGAAGAUGUAACGGGGCUAAACCAUGCACCGAAGCUGCGGCAGCGACGCUUAUGCGUUGUUGGGUAGGGGAGCGUUCUGUAAGCCUGCGAAGGUGUGCUGUGAGGCAUGCUGGAGGUAUCAGAAGUGCGAAUGCUGACAUAAGUAACGAUAAAGCGGGUGAAAAGCCCGCUCGCCGGAAGACCAAGGGUUCCUGUCCAACGUUAAUCGGGGCAGGGUGAGUCGACCCCUAAGGCGAGGCCGAAAGGCGUAGUCGAUGGGAAACAGGUUAAUAUUCCUGUACUUGGUGUUACUGCGAAGGGGGGACGGAGAAGGCUAUGUUGGCCGGGCGACGGUUGUCCCGGUUUAAGCGUGUAGGCUGGUUUUCCAGGCAAAUCCGGAAAAUCAAGGCUGAGGCGUGAUGACGAGGCACUACGGUGCUGAAGCAACAAAUGCCCUGCUUCCAGGAAAAGCCUCUAAGCAUCAGGUAACAUCAAAUCGUACCCCAAACCGACACAGGUGGUCAGGUAGAGAAUACCAAGGCGCUUGAGAGAACUCGGGUGAAGGAACUAGGCAAAAUGGUGCCGUAACUUCGGGAGAAGGCACGCUGAUAUGUAGGUGAAGUCCCUCGCGGAUGGAGCUGAAAUCAGUCGAAGAUACCAGCUGGCUGCAACUGUUUAUUAAAAACACAGCACUGUGCAAACACGAAAGUGGACGUAUACGGUGUGACGCCUGCCCGGUGCCGGAAGGUUAAUUGAUGGGGUCAGCGCAAGCGAAGCUCUUGAUCGAAGCCCCGGUAAACGGCGGCCGUAACUAUAACGGUCCUAAGGUAGCGAAAUUCCUUGUCGGGUAAGUUCCGACCUGCACGAAUGGCGUAAUGAUGGCCAGGCUGUCUCCACCCGAGACUCAGUGAAAUUGAACUCGCUGUGAAGAUGCAGUGUACCCGCGGCAAGACGGAAAGACCCCGUGAACCUUUACUAUAGCUUGACACUGAACAUUGAGCCUUGAUGUGUAGGAUAGGUGGGAGGCUUUGAAGUGUGGACGCCAGUCUGCAUGGAGCCGACCUUGAAAUACCACCCUUUAAUGUUUGAUGUUCUAACGUUGACCCGUGAUCCGGGUUGCGGACAGUGUCUGGUGGGUAGUUUGACUGGGGCGGUCUCCUCCUAAAGAGUAACGGAGGAGCACGAAGGUUGGCUAAUCCUGGUCGGACAUCAGGAGGUUAGUGCAAUGGCAUAAGCCAGCUUGACUGCGAGCGUGACGGCGCGAGCAGGUGCGAAAGCAGGUCAUAGUGAUCCGGUGGUUCUGAAUGGAAGGGCCAUCGCUCAACGGAUAAAAGGUACUCCGGGGAUAACAGGCUGAUACCGCCCAAGAGUUCAUAUCGACGGCGGUGUUUGGCACCUCGAUGUCGGCUCAUCACAUCCUGGGGCUGAAGUAGGUCCCAAGGGUAUGGCUGUUCGCCAUUUAAAGUGGUACGCGAGCUGGGUUUAGAACGUCGUGAGACAGUUCGGUCCCUAUCUGCCGUGGGCGCUGGAGAAUUGAGGGGGGCUGCUCCUAGUACGAGAGGACCGGAGUGGACGCAUCACUGGUGUUCGGGUUGUCAUGCCAAUGGCACUGCCCGGUAGCUAAAUGCGGAAGAGAUAAGUGCUGAAAGCAUCUAAGCACGAAACUUGCCCCGAGAUGAGUUCUCCCUGACUCCUUGAGAGUCCUGAAGGAACGUUGAAGACGACGACGUUGAUAGGCCGGAUGUGUAAGCGCAGCGAUGCGUUGAGCUAACCGGUACUAAUGAACCGUGAGGCUUAACCU